Erigeron canadensis is the source of this 641-nucleotide long non-coding RNA. RefSeq lists it as uncharacterized. The record is from RefSeq and is a predicted model, not a curated record. The transcript is spliced from 2 exons. Lineage: Eukaryota; Viridiplantae; Streptophyta; Magnoliopsida; Asterales; Asteraceae.
UGGAAUGCUCGAUUUUAAUCCAGGUAAUUAUUUGUGAUAAUUUCUUUUGAAUUAACAAUAGUACUUGUCAUCUCACAUCGGUCACAGAAGGGUCUUGUCAAGGGUAUAUAAGGCGCCAGGAAUCGUCCCUUCGGGACAUCCGAUAAAAUUGGAACGAUACAAAGAAGAUUAGCAUGGCCCAUGCGCAAGGAUGACACGCACAAAUCGAGAAAUGUUGCCACAGAUUCGUAGUUGCAACAUCCAGGAUUGGCUCUUCCUGAAUAGUAGUUUUGAAGGUAUCCUUUUUGCCAAGAUCAAGCAAUGCUGCAGAAACAAGGAUGCACAACAUGCUGUUGGUCUGUGAGAAUCCUUGGUUUCAGAGUGUCUGCAAAUGAUCGACAUAGUGUGUCUGGGAUCAAGCAUGUCAAAGACCCCUGUUUCAUGAAUGUAGCCAAACAAUUCUACGGUUUAUGAUCUGAUCUAUUUGUGUCAAUCUAUCACCUUGCACUUCGGUAUCCUAGGUUUUGAUAUGAGACCUCAUUAAUGUGAACAAAUGACAGACUGACAUUCUAUUUGGCUUCAAUGUGAUAGUUUGGAAUUCCUAAAAGGUCCUGUUUAUGAAUAAAUUUUAAAUUCAUAUAACAUACUUGUCAUUUGCCAGA